CCUACGGGUGGCAGCAGUGGGGAAUAUUGGACAAUGGGCGAAAGCCUGAUCCAGCCAUGCCGCGUGUGUGAAGAGGGCCUUCGGGUUGUAAAGCACUUUCAGUGGGGAAGAAAGCCUUGGGGCUAAUACCCUCGAGGAAGGACAUCACCCACAGAAGAAGCACCGGCUAACUCCGUGCCAGCAGCCGCGGUAAUACGGAGGGUGCGAGCGUUAAUCGGAAUUACUGGGCGUAAAGCGCGCGUAGGCGGUCUGAUAAGCCGGUUGUGAAAGCCCCGGGCUCAACCUGGGAACGGCAUCCGGAACUGUCAGGCUAGAGUGCAGGAGAGGAAGGUAGAAUUCCCGGUGUAGCGGUGAAAUGCGUAGAGAUCGGGAGGAAUACCAGUGGCGAAGGCGGCCUUCUGGACUGACACUGACGCUGAGGUGCGAAAGCGUGGGUAGCAAACAGGAUUAGAUACCCUGUAGUC
Molecule: ribosomal RNA, 464 nt
Filed under: Vreelandella stevensii
Lineage: Bacteria; Pseudomonadati; Pseudomonadota; Gammaproteobacteria; Oceanospirillales; Halomonadaceae
Description: partial 16S ribosomal RNA
Rfam family: Bacterial small subunit ribosomal RNA
Source: RNAcentral